RNAcentral lists this ribosomal RNA (1142 nucleotides) under human gut metagenome. Its description in RNAcentral is "bacterial LSU rRNA". It matches the Rfam family "Bacterial large subunit ribosomal RNA", at positions 1135 to 2302 of the family's 2925-position model. The record is from RNAcentral.
UAAUAGCUCACUAGUCGAGAGGUCCUGCGCCGAAAAUGUCCGGGGCUGAAACACAACACCGAAGCUUAGGAAUGUCAUAUGACAUUGGUAGAGGAGCAUUCUUAAAGGAGCGAAGCAGUACCGAUAAGGAGCUGUGGACUUUUAAGAAGAGAGAAUGCCGGAAUGAGUAGCGAGAUGGAGGUGGGAAUCCUCCAGGCCGAAUAUCCAAGGUUUCCAGAGUAAAGCUGAUCUGCUCUGGGUAAGUCGGGGCCUAAGGCGAGGCUGAGAGGCGUAGUCGAUGGACAACAGGUUGAAAUUCCUGUACCAUGUAUCAUCAGAACUGUGGGGACACAGAAGGACAACACAUCCCGGGAAUGGGAAUACCGGGGCAAGCGGGGUAGGAGUACGGUUGGCAAAUCCGCCGUGCAAUCCGAAUACGUGACGCGGAGCGAACGAAAGUAGCGAAGUGUGUGAUUCCGGCUGUCAAGAAAAGCCGCUAUAGUGUGAUACAUGCCCGUACCGUAAACCGACACAGGUAGAUGAGGAGAGAAUCCUAAGGCCGGCGGGAGAAGCAUUGUUAAGGAACUCGGCAAAAUGACCCCGUAACUUCGGGAGAAGGGGUGCCACAGAGAUGUGGCCGCAGAGAAUAGGCUCAAGCAACUGUUUAGCAAAAACACAGGUCUAUGCAAAACCGUAAGGUGAGGUAUAUGGGCUGACGCCUGCCCGGUGCUGGAAGGUUAAGAGGAGAGGUUAGAGAAAUCGAAGCUUUGAAUUUAAGCCCCAGUAAACGGCGGCCGUAACUAUAACGGUCCUAAGGUAGCGAAAUUCCUUGUCGGGUAAGUUCCGACCCGCACGAAAGGCGUAAUGAUUUGGGCACUGUCUCAACAAUGCACCCGGUGAAAUUGAAAUACCAGUGAAGAUGCUGGUUACCUGCGCCAGGACGGAAAGACCCCAUGGAGCUUUACUCCAGCUUGAUACUGGGAUUCGGUAUUGCAUGUACAGGAUAGGUGGGAGGCUGUGAAGAGAGGACGCCAGUCUUCUUGGAGCCACUGUUGGGAUACCACCCUUGUGAUACUGGAUUUCUAACCAGCCACCGUGAUCCGGUGGUGGGACAAUGUCAGGUGGGGAGUUUGACUGGGGCGGUCGCCUCCGAAAGGGUAUCG